AACAAGGAUUCCCCUAGUAACGGCGAGUGAACCGGGAAAAGCUCAAAUUUGAAAUCUGGCUGUCUUCGAUAGUCCGAGUUGUAAUCUAUAGAAGCGUUUUCCGUGCUGAACUGUGUCUAAGUCCCUUGGAACAGGGUAUCAAAGAGGGUGAUAAUCCCGUACUUGACACAACCAUCAGUGCUCUGUGAUACGUUCUCUACGAGUCGAGUUGUUUGGGAAUGCAGCUCAAAAUGGGUGGUAAAUUCCAUCUAAAGCUAAAUAUUGGCGAGAGACCGAUAGCGAACAAGUACCGUGAGGGAAAGAUGAAAAGCACUUUGGAAAGAGAGUUAAACAGUACGUGAAAUUGUUGAAAGGGAAACGAUUGAAGUCAGUCGUGUUCAUUGGAUUCAGCUAGUUCUUCUAGUCUACUUCCUUUGAACGGGUCAACAUCAGUUUUGUCCGGUGGAUAAAGGAUUUAGGAAUGUGACUCCCUCGGGAGUGUUAUAGCCUAGGUUCACAUACACUGGGUGAGACUGAGGACUGCAGCUCGCCUUUUGGCCGGGGUUCGCCCACGUUCGAGCUUAGGAUGUUGACAUAAUGGCU
RNAcentral lists this ribosomal RNA (582 nucleotides) under Apiotrichum montevideense. Its description in RNAcentral is "partial large subunit ribosomal RNA". It matches the Rfam family "Eukaryotic large subunit ribosomal RNA", at positions 67 to 639 of the family's 3401-position model. Lineage: Eukaryota; Fungi; Basidiomycota; Tremellomycetes; Trichosporonales; Trichosporonaceae. The record is from RNAcentral.